AGCAGCCGCGGUAAUUCCAGCUCCAAUAGCGUAUAUUAAAGUUGUUGCAGUUAAAAAGCUCGUAGUUGAAUUUUGGGAUCAAUAUGUUGGUCGUGCCUCGGUACGUACUGGCAUUAUUGGUUUCUACCUUCUGAAGAACCUCGAUGUCAUUAAUUUGGUGUCUUGGGGAAUCAGGACUGUUACUUUGAAAAAAUUAGAGUGUUUAAAGCAGGCUCACGCUUGAAUACAUUAGCAUGGAAUAAUGAAAUAGGACGUUUAAUUCUAUUUUGUUGGUUUCUAGGAUUGACGUAAUGAUUAAUAGGAAUAGUUGGGGGCAUUAGUAUUCAAUUGUCAGAGGUGAAAUUCUUGGAUUUAUUGAAGACUGACUACUGCGAAAGCAUUUGCCAAGGAUGUUUUCAUUAAUCAAGAACGAAAGUUAGGGGAUCGAAGACGAUCAGAUACCGUUGUAGUCUUAACCAUAAACUAUGCCGACUAGGAAUCGGAUGAUGUUAAUUUUUUAAUGACUCAUUCGGCGCCUUACG
RNAcentral lists this ribosomal RNA (521 nucleotides) under uncultured Glomeraceae. RNAcentral's name for it is "SSU rRNA". It matches the Rfam family "Eukaryotic small subunit ribosomal RNA", at positions 569 to 1092 of the family's 1831-position model. The record is from RNAcentral. Lineage: Eukaryota; Fungi; Glomeromycota; Glomeromycetes; Glomerales; Glomeraceae.